This is a long non-coding RNA of Panicum virgatum (switchgrass), 883 nucleotides long. RefSeq lists it as uncharacterized. The record is from RefSeq and is a predicted model, not a curated record. The transcript has 3 exons. Lineage: Eukaryota; Viridiplantae; Streptophyta; Magnoliopsida; Poales; Poaceae.
UUCCAAGCCCAAGCCCACCCGUGGCCAACAUGCAACAGAAGCUCGCUUCUCCCCCUCCUGUUGCCCACUUGCCCACGCCCGACGCCCAGGCAGAGGGGAGACGCGCGACGCACGGCCGCCGGCGCCUGCGCCUGGUGCCCUGGCCGCCCGCUCGCUACUCCGGCGCACCACCCCGCUGCUGCCUUCUCCGGUGACGCCUCCUCCGGAUCCAGAAUUCGCCGGCGCUGCCCUCUCUGCCAGUCCGCCUCCGGCCCGGGCGCUCGGCGGCCCUCCCUGCAGUUCGGCUCGAGACGGCGCCCCCGGCUGCCUUGCCCCCUGCAGGCCAGCGUCCCUUGCGGUUGCAGGCUACAGCUCUCUGAGCCUCUGAGGCUGAAAGAACAAUUGAACUAUAAAGAGGAAUGGGGAUAUUGCUUCUCUUUUUAAGAAGCAUGAAGCAAAGAAACUUGCUGCUGCUGCUUCAUCUCCACCAGCUCCGGCUACAAAAGUUCUUGAAGAGGGAGAUCAGGAGCACGAGAGUGGAAUUGAAGAAAUUGUGGAAUCCAGUCUUGUACAAUCUUCGGUUUCAGAAGCAAUUGAAGUUGAAGAUGUCUUCAUUUGAACUUUCCUAUGGUAAGUUGUGCAAUCCAGACAAGAAGUAGCAUGGUACUAAUCUGUUAACUUUCCUAUGUAAGCUUCUUUUUCAUUUGAACUUAAUAUGAUUGAACCAUUUGUAUUAUAAUUUAUAGAACCUUGGUACUUAAUUGUUGAAUUUAAGAUAUGCAAUGUUAUUUACCGAAUUUUAAGAGUUUUUUUAUCGAAUUAUGUAAGAUAAUAUACCGUUUGUAUAUGGACAAUAUACCGAAUUGCAAGUGAAAAAAAUAUCACGGCAUACCCUUUACUCAAA